RNAcentral lists this transfer-messenger RNA (116 nucleotides) under Bacteroidota bacterium. RNAcentral describes it as "partial transfer-messenger RNA". It matches the Rfam family "transfer-messenger RNA", at positions 255 to 374 of the family's 374-position model. Rfam says of the family: Bacterial tmRNA, also known as 10Sa RNA or SsrA, is named for its dual tRNA and mRNA-like properties. Its role is to liberate the mRNA from a stalled ribosome. The record is from RNAcentral. Lineage: Bacteria; Pseudomonadati; Bacteroidota.
GUUUAGGUAGGCUGCCUGCUACCAGCCUAAACACGAAAAACAAUAGCAAGCUAUGCAUGUAGAAAGCUUACUGGUUAGUUGUUUGGACGAGGGUUCGACUCCCUCCAGCUCCACAA